Molecule: ribosomal RNA, 459 nt
Filed under: uncultured Rhodocyclaceae bacterium
Lineage: Bacteria; Pseudomonadati; Pseudomonadota; Betaproteobacteria; Rhodocyclales; Rhodocyclaceae
Description: bacterial SSU rRNA
Rfam family: Bacterial small subunit ribosomal RNA
Source: RNAcentral
GCACAAGCGGUGGAUUAUGUGGAUUAAUUCGAUGCAACGCGAAAACCUUACCUACCCUUGACAUGUCCGGAAUCCCGAAGAGAUUUGGGAGUGCUCGCAAGAGAGCCGGAACACAGGUGCUGCAUGGCUGUCGUCAGCUCGUGUCGUGAGAUGUUGGGUUAAGUCCCGCAACGAGCGCAACCCUUGUCAUUAGUUGCCAUCAUUUGGUUGGGCACUCUAAUGAGACUGCCGGUGACAAACCGGAGGAAGGUGGGGAUGACGUCAAGUCCUCAUGGCCCUUAUGGGUAGGGCUUCACACGUCAUACAAUGGUCGGUACAGAGGGUUGCCAACCCGCGAGGGGGAGCUAAUCCCACAAAGCCGAUCGUAGUCCGGAUCGCAGUCUGCAACUCGACUGCGUGAAGUCGGAAUCGCUAGUAAUCGUGGAUCAGCAUGUCACGGUGAAUACGUUCCCGGGUCUU